CGGAGGAUUCAGACCCAAUUUAGCUAUUGUGUAGGACACUGGGAAUGUUUGGGCUGCUGCUGGACACACGGGGCUUGCUGCUGAAAGUUCUGUGUUCAGGGAGAAAUUUCCUAUGGGAGGAGUGAGGGACGUGAGGUGCUUGACAAGUAGCCUGAUUCAGGUGGAGCGGAAGUUAGGCAAGUUUGAGACAGCGCUGCUGGUGAUGAGGAGGAGGAGAUGUGUGUCUGUGCAUGUGUGUACGUGUGCGUGUGUGAGAGAGAGAUGGCGGGGAGUACCAGGGAGACAGACACCAUGAAUUGUCCCUUCCUGUCUUUAUGACACAAGGUCAGAGGCUGCCUCUAAACCAAGAUGGCGAACCUUUUAGAGCUUUUAAUGACACGCACGGCCAGCUGUGGCUCACGAGCCUGGGUGCCCACCAGGGCCCUGGGGCCGCAUCAGCACUGUGGGUAACAGGCCUCGGGCCUGUCAGUCAGUCGGUAUGAGACAGCUGGGCGAGUCUCAUUUGUGUGGUGACCAGCCGAGCACACUGAUAGCCAUUAGUUCUUUGGGCCCAAGGUCGUGAAAUAGUUACUAUUAUUCACACCUGUCACAAAUGUAGAACCUUAACUAGCAGAGAAGUGUAAUGUCUUGCUGGAAGUCAGGUCUUUGAGAAGGCAAUGCAGGGCUCGAUUCCGGAACUUUCAGGCAACGAAUGUGCACAGUCUCCGUGUGGAGUGGUUCUCAAACCAGGGGACUAACGGAAGGGUGGCCGGCAAUCCCUGGAUCCUGUGAUGCGUGUUCAAGUGGUGCCACAGGCUGCCAGCGCUCAGAGCUGUGCUUUCGUCAUCACUGGAAACAGGCUUCUCUGAAUAUGUGCAAAGAUGAGAAACUUCAGGAGGCUUUGAAGAGCUUGGAGUCACCGUUAGCACAAAGAGAUGGGCAAUUGCGGCUGGCUGUGGUGGUACAGGCUGGAACCCUACCACUGGGGAAGCUGAGGCAGGAGGAUUGGAUGUUGAAGGUCAGCCCAGGCUGUAUUCUAAGAUCGAGGCAGCCUGAAGUACAGAGAGACCCUAUCCUCCCCCAAAAAAGAUGAUCAAAUGAGGCAUACAGUCUUUAAUUAAAAAGUUUGCUGUAAUAGCAUAUUUAAAAUAUAAUAUGCUAUCAUUAUGAUGCGUGAGUGUAAAAUGAUUGGUACUGUAGGCUCACAAAAGUGGUUUAAGUGAUACGAAGCGAUUUGUGGCUUGUUCAAGUAAUUGCUUUGAAGGAUGUGGUGGACAUUUACAUGUAUAAAUGCUGGUGUGAUAUUCAAAACGGUUCUGUUCUUUUUUCACACUGCACUUUCUUUUUUCAAAUUUUUGUUUUUAUUAGUACAAGUUGCAGUGCAUCGUGAUUACACUCAUUGUAGGGAGUUGGUGGAUGCACGUAACACAUCUUCGUGCUCUUUGCUUUCCCUUCGUCUCCCUUCCCUCCUCUCUGGGUCCUCUUCCCAUUUGAGGAAGUUCUGCCUCCCUGCUUCCUAUUAUCUCUCUCGUACUUUGCUCUUUAUUUGUCCUUUGGGUUUCUCAUGUUGGAGAAACCAGGCAGGAUUUAAGCCUGUGCUUCUGACUUAUUUCACUCCACACUAUGGUCUCAAGGUGCAUCCGUUUCCCUACAAAAGACUCGUUUGUCUCGCUUAUGGCAGAGUAGUGCUCUGCCGUGUGUAAAGACCACAUUUUCUUAUCUACUGUUCUGUUGAUGGAUGUAGGCAUUUCUCCUUUCAAAGACAGACGCUGUAUCUAUCAGUUAUAAAGGCAUUCUGAAAUUAAAGCAUGCCAUUUAGAGUGUCCGUACUUAGACCAUUAAGUUACCUUUGUACUGUACUGGAAGAACAACUGCAAUGCCACUUCUGCCAUAGACGUGUGCCUCUCACUGCUACUCCUAGGCAAGGACAAUCGGUCUAGAGGAUGAAGGGCCGCAGUUCCCCCUGUUGAGAUACAAAUGGUGAAGGGGGAUCUGCUCCAGUUGAGCCCAGCCUGGUCACGUGUGCGUGGGUGCGUGUAGGUGGGACAGCCGGCAGCGCCCCUGGGAGUCAGCGCUGUGGCUGGGCAGGGCUCUCGAUGCGGGAGGGCCCCGCUGCUGUCCAGUGUCUGCCUUGGCCAAGGCUCUGCCCGCGACACCACGUUGUCACCCGCUGGACACCCACUCCCGGUCUGAUUAAGCUCCGUACCCAGCCGUUUACCGGGCAGAGGCACAGGGCCUUUCUCCUGCGACCGCCGUCAGAGUCCACUUCCUCUUUCUCCCCCUGCUGUCCACCCUGUCGGGCCUGAAGCCGCCCAUCGGGAGCGCACGCGCCUGCCCAGCCUGGGUUUGGGCCAGGGUUCUAGUGCUUUCCAGAUUUCUUGCACUUUCUAGUGCAAAUGCGUUUCUGGGUCUUCUUUAUGCUUUUUCUCCCCCUCUUCUCUUCUGCUUCCCUCCCUUCACUUUUUGGAGGCAGGAUUUCACUCUGGAGACCAGGCUGGGCUUGAGCUCUCGAUCUUCCACCCCUGCCUCCGGGUGCUGGGAUGAGGUUCGGGAAACCCAGGAGCGUUUGUGUCCGCAGCGGUGGGAAGGACGAUGAGCAUCGUCUUCCGAGCGCAGCUGCCCUUGAAGCUGCUGCUCUGCCGUCUGACCCCUGGGGCGCCUCCCCGCGGGGCCUGCCCGUUGGGUCGCCCUCUGCCCGCGGCUGGGCCGGUCCGCGGCCUCGCACCCCGCCGCGCACGGGUCCUUCCCCGGGCCGGGUCGCACAGCUCCUGCGACACACUUUCAAACCGGCCCCGCCGUCCGUUACGUCUCGAGACCUCUCGUAAUGAAAGUACUCGGUUCAGAACAGGAAUAAUAAUGUGAAGCAAAUGAAAACGAAGGCGUCUAGGCAAGGAACAACGUACUGCUAUCUUGUGAAGAAGUGUUGCCAGGGCGACAGGCCUGGAAAUGGGCAAGUGACAGGAAAGGACAUGUGAUUUCUUCUGUGUGUGCACCUGCUGAUGUGAGAGCUGAGUACUAUGCUGUCCUCUCCAGCCACCAGAAUCAUGAUCCAAGUAAACUUCCUUACUUUGGAGAGACCAUGUGGUGCAGGCUGGGAUCUGGAGAAGAAAAGAGGAGAAUUAGAGGAAGGUGUAAGAGGUUGGGGAAGGGCAUUUUGGGUGAGGAGAAUGCCUGAGAAAAAGACAGAGAAGAAAUUACUGGGCUCGCCAAGGAAUGGUGAGUGGUGUGGUUCUAAUGGAGUAAACUACUGGUAAGUUAGCAUUUAUUGCAAGGUUUGGAAGAUUUUUCUGUAAGGGGC
RNAcentral lists this long non-coding RNA (3277 nucleotides) under Heterocephalus glaber (naked mole-rat). Its description in RNAcentral is "lncRNA (ENSHGLG00100044834.1)". Lineage: Eukaryota; Metazoa; Chordata; Mammalia; Rodentia; Bathyergidae. The record is from RNAcentral.